UGGGGAAUUUUGGACAAUGGGCGAAAGCCUGAUCCAGCAAUGCCGCGUGUGUGAAGAAGGCCUUCGGGUUGUAAAGCACUUUUGUCCGGAAAGAAAUCCUUGGCUCUAAUACAGUCGGGGGAUGACGGUACCGGAAGAAUAAGCACCGGCUAACUACGUGCCAGCAGCCGCGGUAAUACGUAGGGUGCAAGCGUUAAUCGGAAUUACUGGGCGUAAAGCGUGCGCAGGCGGUUUGCUAAGACCGAUGUGAAAUCCCCGGGCUCAACCUGGGAACUGCAUUGGUGACUGGCAGGCUAGAGUAUGGCAGAGGGGGGUAGAAUUCCACGUGUAGCAGUGAAAUGCGUAGAGAUGUGGAGGAAUACCGAUGGCGAAGGCAGCCCCCUGGGCCAAUACUGACGCUCAUGCACGAAAGCGUGGGGAGCAAACAGGAUUAGAUACCCUGGUAGUCCACGCCCUAAACGAUGUCAACUAGUUGUUGGGAAUUCAUUUCCUUAGUAACGUAGCUAACGCGUGAAGUUGACCGCCUGGGGAGUACGGUCGCAAGAUUAAAACUCAAAUGAAUUGACGGGGUCAUAGCUGUUUCCU
This 585-nucleotide ribosomal RNA is filed under the name uncultured bacterium. RNAcentral describes it as "partial 16S ribosomal RNA". It matches the Rfam family "Bacterial small subunit ribosomal RNA", at positions 355 to 1375 of the family's 1533-position model. The record is from RNAcentral.